UGGAAGCUGGUUUCACAUGGUGGCUUAGAUUUUCCCACUUCGUAUCUAGCACCAUUUGAAAUCAGUGUUCU
Molecule: non-coding RNA, 71 nt
Organism: Merops nubicus (carmine bee-eater)
Lineage: Eukaryota; Metazoa; Chordata; Aves; Coraciiformes; Meropidae
Source: Rfam